UACGUAGGGUGCAAGCGUUAAUCGGAAUUACUGGGCGUAAAGCGUGCGCAGGCGGUUCGGAAAGAAAGAUGUGAAAUCCCAGAGCUUAACUUUGGAACUGCAUUUUUAACUACCGGGCUAGAGUGUGUCAGAGGGAGGUGGAAUUCCGCGUGUAGCAGUGAAAAUGCGUAGAUAUGCGGAGGAACACCGAUGGCGAAGGCAGCCUCCUGGGAUAACACUGACGCUCAUGCAC
This 232-nucleotide ribosomal RNA is filed under the name uncultured bacterium. RNAcentral describes it as "partial 16S ribosomal RNA". It matches the Rfam family "Bacterial small subunit ribosomal RNA", at positions 524 to 754 of the family's 1533-position model. The record is from RNAcentral.